CGAGAAUUUCGAGGCCUGAAUGC
RNAcentral lists this microRNA (23 nucleotides) under Caenorhabditis briggsae. RNAcentral's name for it is "Cbr-Mir-193-P1-v1_5p* (star (passenger))". Lineage: Eukaryota; Metazoa; Nematoda; Chromadorea; Rhabditida; Rhabditidae. The record is from RNAcentral.